GACGAACGCUGGCGGCGUGCCUAAUACAUGCAAGUGGGACGCAAGGAAACACACUGUGCUUGCACACCGUGUUUUCUUGAGUCGCGAACGGGUGAGUAACGCGUAGGUAACCUGCCUAUUAGCGGGGGAUAACUAUUGGAAACGAUAGCUAAUACCGCAUAAUAUUAAUUAUUGCAUGAUAAUUGAUUGAAAGAUGCAAGCGCAUCACUAGUAGAUGGACCUGCGUUGUAUUAGCUAGUUGGUAAGGUAAGAGCUUACCAAGGCGACGAUACAUAGCCGACCUGAGAGGGUGAUCGGCCACACUGGGACUGAGACACGGCCCAGACUCCUACGGGAGGCAGCAGUAGGGAAUCUUCGGCAAUGGACGAAAGUCUGACCGAGCAACGCCGCGUGAGUGAAGAAGGUUUUCGGAUCGUAAAGCUCUGUUGUAAGUCAAGAACGUGUGUGAGAGUGGAAAGUUCACACAGUGACGGAGCUACCAGAAAGGC
Molecule: ribosomal RNA, 488 nt
Filed under: Streptococcus mutans
Lineage: Bacteria; Bacillati; Bacillota; Bacilli; Lactobacillales; Streptococcaceae
Description: bacterial SSU rRNA
Rfam family: Bacterial small subunit ribosomal RNA
Source: RNAcentral